UUUAUAAAGAGUUUGAUCCUGGCUCAGGACGAACGCUGGCGGCACGCUUAACACAUGCAA
Molecule: ribosomal RNA, 60 nt
Filed under: Ruminococcus sp.
Lineage: Bacteria; Bacillati; Bacillota; Clostridia; Eubacteriales; Oscillospiraceae
Description: partial 16S ribosomal RNA
Rfam family: Bacterial small subunit ribosomal RNA
Source: RNAcentral